This 253-nucleotide ribosomal RNA is filed under the name uncultured bacterium. RNAcentral's name for it is "partial 16S ribosomal RNA". It matches the Rfam family "Bacterial small subunit ribosomal RNA", at positions 524 to 776 of the family's 1533-position model. The record is from RNAcentral.
UACGUAGGGCGCAAGCGUUGUCCGGAGUUAUUGGGCGUAAAGAGCUCGUAGGCGGCGUGUCGCGUCGGAUGUGAAAGCCCGGGGCUUAACUCCGGGUCUGCAGUCGAUACGGGCAGGCUAGAGUUCGGUAGGGGAGAUCGGAAUUCCUGGUGUAGCGGUGAAAUGCGCAGAUAUCAGGAGGAACACCGGUGGCGAAGGCGGAUCUCUGGGCCGAUACUGACGCUGAGGAGCGAAAGCGUGGGGAGCGAACAGG